Molecule: unclassified non-coding RNA, 339 nt
Filed under: soil metagenome
Description: partial contains 5.8S ribosomal RNA, internal transcribed spacer 2, and large subunit ribosomal RNA
Rfam family: 5.8S ribosomal RNA (bases 1-120)
Source: RNAcentral
GAUGAAGAACGUAGCGAAAUGCGAUAAGUAGUGUGAAUUGCAGAAUUUAGUGAAUCAUCGAAUCUUUGAACGCACAUUGCACCUCUCGGUAUUCCGGGAGGUAUGCCUGUUCGAGCGUCAUUUGUACCCUCAAGCUCUGCUUGGUGUUGGGUGUUUGUUCCGCCUCUGUGUGUGAACUCGCCUCAAAACAAUUGGCAGCCGGCGUACUUGUUUCGGAGCGCAGCACAUUUUGCGAUCCAGAUCAACGUACAGCGGCAUCCAAGAAGCCUUAUUUAACGCUCUUGACCUCGGAUCAGGUAGGGAUACCCGCUGAACUUAAGCAUAUCAAUAAGCGGAGGA